This 468-nucleotide ribosomal RNA is filed under the name uncultured bacterium. RNAcentral's name for it is "partial 16S ribosomal RNA". It matches the Rfam family "Bacterial small subunit ribosomal RNA", at positions 28 to 507 of the family's 1533-position model. The record is from RNAcentral.
GACGAACGCUGGCGGCGUGCCUAACACAUGCAAGUCGAACGGAAAGGCCCUGCUUUUGUGGGGUGCUCGAGUGGCGAACGGGUGAGUAUCACGUGUGUAACCUGCCCUUGUCUUUGGGGGAACUUCAGGAAACUGGAGUUAAUAUAGGACAGGAGAUCCUGCAGCAUGGUGGGGGUGGGAAAGUUUCGGCGGUUGGGGAUGGACUCGCGGCUUAGCAGCUUGUUGGUGGGGUAGUGGAUUACCAAGGCAGUGACGGGUAGCCGGCAGGGGAGGGUGACCGGGCACAAUGGGACUGAGGUAGGGACCAGAGGGCAACGGGGGGCAGCGGUGGGAAAUAUUGCACAAUGGGCCGAAGCCUGAUACAGCGACGCCGCGUGCGGGAAGACGGCCUGCGGGGUAUAAACCGCUUUCGCCUGUGACGAAGCGUGAGUGACGGUAAUGGGUAAAGAAGCACCGGCUAACUACGUG